RNAcentral lists this ribosomal RNA (497 nucleotides) under uncultured bacterium. Its description in RNAcentral is "partial 16S ribosomal RNA". It matches the Rfam family "Bacterial small subunit ribosomal RNA", at positions 28 to 507 of the family's 1533-position model. The record is from RNAcentral.
GAUGAACGCUGGCGGCGUGCCUAAUACAUGCAAGUCGAGCGAACAGACGAGGAGCUUGCUCCUCUGACGUUAGCGGCGGACGGGUGAGUAACACGUGGAUAACCUACCUAUAAGACUGGGAUAACUUCGGGAAACCGGAGCUAAUACCGGAUAAUAUAUUGAACCGCAUGGUUCAAUAGUGAAGGGCGGUUUUGCUGUCACUUAUAGAUGGAUCCGCGCCGCAUUAGCUAGUUGGUAAGGUAACGGCUUACCAAGGCAACGAUGCGUAGCCGACCUGAGAGGGUGAUCGGCCACACUGGAACUGAGACACGGUCCAGACUCCUACGGGAGGCAGCAGUAGGGAAUCUUCCGCAAUGGGCGAAAGCCUGACGGAGCAACGCCGCGUGAGUGAUGAAGGUCUUCGGAUCGUAAAACUCUGUUAUUAGGGAAGAACAAAUGUGUAAGUAACUAUGCACGUCUUGACGGUACCUAAUCAGAAAGCCACGGCUAACUACGUG